This 107-nucleotide small nuclear RNA is filed under the name Catagonus wagneri (Chacoan peccary). Lineage: Eukaryota; Metazoa; Chordata; Mammalia; Artiodactyla; Tayassuidae. The record is from RNAcentral.
GUGCUCACUUCCACAGCACAUAUAAUAAAACUGGAAUGAUUCAGAGAAGAUUAGCAUGGCCCCUGAGCAAGGAUGACAUGCAAAUUCAUGAAGCAUUCCAUAUUUUU